RNAcentral lists this ribosomal RNA (420 nucleotides) under uncultured Microbulbifer sp. RNAcentral describes it as "bacterial SSU rRNA". It matches the Rfam family "Bacterial small subunit ribosomal RNA", at positions 343 to 756 of the family's 1533-position model. The record is from RNAcentral. Lineage: Bacteria; Pseudomonadati; Pseudomonadota; Gammaproteobacteria; Cellvibrionales; Microbulbiferaceae.
GGGGGUCAGCAGUGGGGAAUAUUGGACAAUGGGCGCAAGCCUGAUCCAGCCAUGCCGCGUGUGUGAAGAAGGCCCUAGGGUUGUAAAGCACUUUCAGCAGGGAGGAAGGCCUUAAAGUUAAUACCUUUGAGGAUUGACGUUACCUGCAGAAGAAGCACCGGCUAACUCCGUGCCAGCAGCCGCGGUAAUACGGAGGGUGCAAGCGUUAAUCGGAAUUACUGGGCGUAAAGCGCGCGUAGGCGGUUAGUUAAGCUGGAUGUGAAAGCCCUGGGCUCAACCUGGGAACUGCAUUCAGAACUGGCUGGCUAGAGUACGAGAGAGGGUAGUGGAAUUUCCUGUGUAGCGGUGAAAUGCGUAGAUAUAGGAAGGAACAUCAGUGGCGAAGGCGACUGCCUGGCUCGAUACUGACGCUGAGUGCGA